This 497-nucleotide ribosomal RNA is filed under the name uncultured bacterium. Its description in RNAcentral is "partial 16S ribosomal RNA". It matches the Rfam family "Bacterial small subunit ribosomal RNA", at positions 28 to 507 of the family's 1533-position model. The record is from RNAcentral.
GAUGAACGCUGGCGGCGUGCCUAAUACAUGCAAGUCGAGCGAACAGAUGAGGAGCUUGCUCCUCUGACGUUAGCGGCGGACGGGUGAGUAACACGUGGAUAACCUACCUAUAAGACUGGGAUAACUUCGGGAAACCGGAGCUAAUACCGGAUAAUAUAUUGAACCGCAUGGUUCAAUAGUGAAAGCCGGUUUUGUUUUCCUUUAUGAUUGGAUCCGCGCCGCAUUAGCUAGUUGGUAAGGUAACGGCUUACCAAGGCAACGAUGCGUAGCCGACCUGAGAGGGUGAUCGGCCACACUGGAACUGAGACACGGUCCAGACUCCUACGGGAGGCAGCAGUAGGGAAUCUUCCGCAAUGGGCGAAAGCCUGACGGAGCAACGCCGCGUGAGUGAUGAAGGUCUUCGGAUCGUAAAACUCUGUUAUUAGGGAAGAACAAAUGUGUAAGUAACUAUGCACGUCUUGACGGUACCUAAUCAGAAAGCCACGGCUAACUACGUG